RNAcentral lists this ribosomal RNA (466 nucleotides) under uncultured bacterium. RNAcentral's name for it is "partial 16S ribosomal RNA". It matches the Rfam family "Bacterial small subunit ribosomal RNA", at positions 28 to 507 of the family's 1533-position model. The record is from RNAcentral.
GAUGAACGCUGGCGGCGUGCUUAACACAUGCAAGUCGAACGAUGAAGCCCAGCUUGCUGGGUGGAUUAGUGGCGAACGGGUGAGUAACACGUGAGUAACCUGCCCUUAACUCUGGGAUAAGCCUGGGAAACUGGGUCUAAUACCGGAUAGGAGCGCCUACCGCAUGGUGGGUGUUGGAAAGAUUUAUCGGUUUUGGAUGGACUCGCGGCCUAUCAGCUUGUUGGUGAGGUAAUGGCUCACCAAGGCGACGACGGGUAGCCGGCCUGAGAGGGUGACCGGCCAGACUGGGACUGAGACACGGCCCAGACUCCUACGGGAGGCAGCAGUGGGGAAUAUUGCACAAUGGGCGAAAGCCUGAUGCAGCGACGCCGCGUGAGGGAUGACGGCCUUCGGGUUGUAAACCUCUUUCAGUAGGGAAGAAGCGAAAGUGACGGUACCUGCAGAAGAAGCACCGGCUAACUACGUG